RNAcentral lists this ribosomal RNA (1287 nucleotides) under Triticum aestivum (bread wheat). Its description in RNAcentral is "partial small subunit ribosomal RNA". Lineage: Eukaryota; Viridiplantae; Streptophyta; Magnoliopsida; Poales; Poaceae. The record is from RNAcentral.
AUGCAUAUGCAGAGCUGCCUGCCUAUCCACCACCUCCAACGGCAGGGUUGGUUGGUGGAGAGCUCCUCCUACAAUAGACUGUGUGCCUCUGAUUUUUCUUCAGCAUUCCAAGUUUUAGCAGCCAUGGCACUUACGCUUGUGUUCUCCUCUCUCCUCGUUUUCUGUCUCAAUGGCGUGAGCUCCGAUUCAAGCUACUUCACCUCCUUGUUUACUCUCGGAGAUUCCUACUUUGACACUGGCAAUUUCCUGAUCAUGGCUGAUCCGGCGAUACCCGAGUAUAAUGGCAACCCACCCUACGGCAUGACCUUCUUUGGCCGCCCCACUGGCCGCCUCUGUGAUGGGAGAGUCACCGUCGAUUUCAUCGCCGAGCAGUUUGGUCUGCCACUUCUUCAAGCCUCCAUGUUGAAUAGCUCGGACGUGUCUAAAGGCGUAAAUUUUGCUGUGGGUGGCGCGACAGCGAUCGACAUCGACUUCUAUGAAAGGAGCAAACUGGUUCCGUACAAGCUUUUGAACAAUUCUCUAAACGUACAGCUGGGCUGGUUUGAGGAACUCAUGCCGGAAAUUUGCACCGCAGGGCGCAGAUAUUGCUUCAGUAACGCCCUCUUCUUCGUUGGGGAGUUUGGAGUGAAGGACUACGACUUGUUGUGGAAUGCCGGGAACACGGAAGAUGAAGUGCGGUCUUAUGUACCAAAAGUUGUGAAAAUUAUUGUCAUGGCCGUGGAGAGGCUUAUCAGCGAAGGUGCAAUAUACGUGGUUGUGCCUGGGAAUCCUCCUAACGGGUGCUCACCCAUCGUGCUAGCGACACGCUCAAGCCUCAGCAAGAUGGAGGACUACGACCAUAUUGGCUGCCUAAGAGACAUCAACCACGUGGCAAGGUACCACAACUUUGUCCUCCGUGAGGCGCUGGGCCAUCUCAAGGGCAAGUACCCCCAUGCGAGGAUCAUCUUCGCCGACUUCUACAACCCAAUAAUCUCAAUCCUUGAAAAUCCUAGCCAUUUCGGAGUCGCCGAUUCUGAUGCUCUACGGGCUUGUUGCGGAGGCGGCGGGGAGUACAACUGGAAUACUAGCGCCAUAUGUGGCAUGCCAGGCGUGACUGCCUGCAAGGACCCCACAACAUACGUGAGCUGGGAUGGAGUUCACUACACCGAGGCCACAUACCAGUACAUUGCCAAUGGAUGGCUCUAUGGUCCUUUCGCCGAUCCGCCUAUAAUGUCUGCUAUUAGCUACACGCAAGAAGACUUGAUUAAAAAUAUUACAAGCAACAUAAGGAGUUCACGAAUAUAUUAA